RNAcentral lists this ribosomal RNA (642 nucleotides) under uncultured Methanothermobacter sp. Its description in RNAcentral is "bacterial SSU rRNA". It matches the Rfam family "Archaeal small subunit ribosomal RNA", at positions 339 to 981 of the family's 1478-position model. Lineage: Archaea; Methanobacteriati; Methanobacteriota; Methanobacteria; Methanobacteriales; Methanobacteriaceae. The record is from RNAcentral.
GCGCGAAACCUCCGCAAUGCACGCAAGUGCGACGGGGGGACCCCAAGUGCCACUCUUAACGGGGUGGCUUUUCAGGAGUGUAAAAAGCUCCUGGAAUAAGGGCUGGGCAAGACCGGUGCCAGCCGCCGCGGUAACACCGGCAGCUCGAGUGGUAGCCGCGUUUAUUGGGCCUAAAGCGUCCGUAGCCGGUCCGAUAAGUCUCUGGUGAAAGCCCACAGCUCAACUGUGGGAAUCGCUGGAGAUACUAUCGGACUUGAGGCCGGGAGAGGCUGGAGGUACUCCCAGGGUAGGGGUGAAAUCCUAUAAUCCUGGGAGGACCACCUGUGGCGAAGGCGUCCAGCUGGAACGGACCUGACGGUGGGGGACGAAAGCCAGGGGCGCGAACCGGAUUAGAUACCCGGGUAGUCCUGGCCGUAAACGAUGCGGACUUGGUGUUGGGACGGCUUUGAGCUGUCCCAGUGCCGAAGGGAAGCUGUUAAGUCCGCCGCCUGGGAAGUACGGCCGCAAGGCUGAAACUUAGAGGAAUUGGCGGGGGAGCACCACAACGCGUGGAGUCUGCGGUUUAAUUGGAUUCAACGCCGGACAUCUCACCAGGGGCGACAGCAGGAUGAUGGCCAGGUUGAUGACCUUGCUUGACAAGCU